GUCCCUAUCGUCUAGAGGCCUAGGACAUCGCCCUUUCACGGCGGUAACCGGGGUUCGAAUCCCCGUAGGGGCGCCA
This 76-nucleotide transfer RNA is filed under the name Acinetobacter baumannii. Its description in RNAcentral is "tRNA-Glu". It matches the Rfam family "tRNA". From Rfam's summary of the family: Transfer RNA (tRNA) molecules are approximately 80 nucleotides in length. Their secondary structure includes four short double-helical elements and three loops (D, anti-codon, and T loops). The record is from RNAcentral. Lineage: Bacteria; Pseudomonadati; Pseudomonadota; Gammaproteobacteria; Moraxellales; Moraxellaceae.